Non-coding RNA from Erwinia tracheiphila, 74 nucleotides. The record is from Rfam. Lineage: Bacteria; Pseudomonadati; Pseudomonadota; Gammaproteobacteria; Enterobacterales; Erwiniaceae.
CGCGGGGUGGAGCAGCUUGGUAGCUCGUCGGGCUCAUAACCCGAAGGUCGUCGGUUCAAAUCCGGCCCCCGCAA